AGAGUUUGAUCCUGGCUCAGGAUGAACGCUGGCGGCGUGCCUAAUACAUGCAAGUCGAACGGGAAGCGUUGAUUCGUCGAAGUGGAGAGUGGCGCACGGGUGAGUAACACAUGGCUGACCUGCCCUUCAGAGGAGGACAACCAGUGGAAACGCUGGCUAAUACUCCAUACGCUCGUGGGACUUAGAACCCCGUGAGGAAAAGCUCCGGCGCUGAAGGAGGGGGCUGUGGCCCAUCAGCUAGUUGGUAGGGUAAAGGCCUACCAAGGCGAGGACGGGUAGGGGACCUGAGAGGGUGACCCCCCACACGGGUACUGAGACACGGACCCGACUCCUACGGGAGGCAGCAGUAAGGGAUAUUGCGCAAUGGACGAAAGUCUGACGCAGCAACGCCGCGUGCGGGAUGACGGCCUUCGGGUUGUAAACCGCUUUUCUGUGUGAAGAGGAAGGACGGUAGCACAGGAAUAAGUCUCGGCUAACUACGUGCCAGCAGCCGCGGUAAAACGUAGGAGGCGAGCGUUAUCCGGAUUUACUGGGUGUAAAGCGCGUGCAGGCGGCUUCGUAAGUUGUGCGUGAAAGCGCUCUGGCUCAACCGGGCGAGGACGUGCAAAACUGCGGAGCUAGAGAUAGGUAGAGGUAUGUGGAAUUCCGGGUGUAGUGGUGAAAUGCGUAGAGAUCCGGAGGAACACCAGUGGCGAAGGCGACAUACUGGACCUUAUCUGACGCUAAGACGCGAAAGCAUGGGUAGCGAACGGGAUUAGAAACCCCGGCAGUCCAUGCCGUAAACGAUGUGUACUAAGUGUUGGGGCCUAGAAACCCCAGUGCUGAAGCUAACAUGAUAAGUACACCACCUGGGGAGUACGGUCGCAAGAUUAAAACUUAAAGGAAUUGAUGG
Molecule: ribosomal RNA, 892 nt
Filed under: uncultured bacterium
Lineage: Bacteria
Description: bacterial SSU rRNA
Rfam family: Bacterial small subunit ribosomal RNA
Source: RNAcentral